UCGGGGUACUCGAGUGGCGAACGGGUGAGUAACACGUGGGUGAUCUGCCCUGCACUUUGGGAUAAGCCUGGGAAACUGGGUCUAAUACCGAAUAGGACCACGCGCUUCAUGGUGUGUGGUGGAAAGCUUUUGCGGUGUGGGAUGGGCCCGCGGCCUAUCAGCUUGUUGGUGGGGUAAUGGCCUACCAAGGCGACGACGGGUAGCCGGCCUGAGAGGGUGACCGGCCACACUGGGACUGAGAUACGGCCCAGACUCCUACGGGAGGCAGCAGUGGGGAAAUUGCACAAUGGGCGCAAGCCUGAUGCAGCGACGCCGCGUGAGGGAUGACGGCCUUCGGGUUGUAAACCUCUUUCAAUAGGGACGAAGCGCAAGUGACGGUACCUAUAGAAGAAGCACCGGCCAACUACGUGCCAGCAGCCGCGGUAAUACGUAGGGUGCGAGCGUUGUCCGGAAUUACUGGGCGUAAAGAGCUCGUAGGUGGUUUGUCGCGUUGUUCGUGAAAACUCACAGCUUAACUGUGGGCGUGCGGGCGAUACGGGCAGACUAGAGUACUGCAGGGGAGACUGGAAUUCCUGGUGUAGCGGUGGAAUGCGCAGAUAUCAGGAGGAACACCGGUGGCGAAGGCGGGUCUCUGGGCAGUAACUGACGCUGAGGAGCGAAAGCGUGGGGAGCGAACAGGAUUAGAUACCCUGGUAGUCCACGCCGUAAACGGUGGGUACUAGGUGUGGGUUCCUUCCUUGGGAUCCGUGCCGUAGCUAACGCAUUAAGUACCCCGCCUGGGGAGUACGGCCGCAAGGCUAAAACUCAAAGGAAUUGACGGGGGCCCGCACAAGCGGCGGAGCAUGUGGAUUAAUUCGAUGCAACGCGAAGAACCUUACCUGGGUUUGACAUGCACAGGACGCCGGCAGAGAUGUCGGUUCCCUUGUGGCCUGUGUGCAGGUGGUGCAUGGCUGUCGUCAGCUCGUGUCGUGAGAUGUUGGGUUAAGUCCCGCAACGAGCGCAACCCUUGUCCUAUGUUGCCAGCGGGUUAUGCCGGGGACUCGUAGGAGACUGCCGGGGUCAACUCGGAGGAAGGUGGGGAUGACGUCAAGUCAUCAUGCCCCUUAUGUCCAGGGCUUCACACAUGCUACAAUGGCCGGUACAAAGGGCUGCGAUGCCGUGAGGUGGAGCGAAUCCUUUCAAAGCCGGUCUCAGUUCGGAUCGGGGUCUGCAACUCGACCCCGUGAAGUCGGAGUCGCUAGUAAUCGCAGAUCAGCAACGCUGCGGUGAAUACGUUCCCGGGCCUUGUACACACCGCCCGUCACGUCAUGAAAGUCGGUAACACCCGAAGCCG
RNAcentral lists this ribosomal RNA (1333 nucleotides) under Mycobacterium sp. DWMJ-2278A1. RNAcentral describes it as "bacterial SSU rRNA". It matches the Rfam family "Bacterial small subunit ribosomal RNA", at positions 82 to 1429 of the family's 1533-position model. The record is from RNAcentral. Lineage: Bacteria; Bacillati; Actinomycetota; Actinomycetes; Mycobacteriales; Mycobacteriaceae.